RNAcentral lists this unclassified non-coding RNA (223 nucleotides) under plant metagenome. RNAcentral describes it as "partial contains small subunit ribosomal RNA, internal transcribed spacer 1, and 5.8S ribosomal RNA". The record is from RNAcentral.
UCUCCGUUGGUGAACCAGCGGAGGGAUCAUUACUGAGUGUUACACCUCCCAAACCCUAUGUAAACACUACCACUCGUUGUGUCGGCGGGACCGCCCCGGCCCCUCUGCGCGCCGGACCCAGGCGCCCGCCGUGGGCCCGAAACUCUUGUUUUGGUAGUGAUAUUUUCUCUGAGUGGCAUAAGUAAAUAAAUCAAAACUUUCAACAACGGAUCUCUUGGUUCUG